GCUCAGUUAUCACGUGGUAUUUCAAAUAUCCACACAGUAUGCAUAUCAUUUGAUAGAUCUCCUCAUAAUGCACAACUUUGCCUCAAGAACCAUUACUGUCAGUCAAAUCGUUCAUUAAUUAUUCACAAAUAUGUUAAAAACAUACUUUUGCGAACUAGUCCUAGGUUUUUUGCCCGAUCGGAACCAAACCACUGCUGUAAUAUUCUGUGGACUCUCUAGAUCAAUAAUUAUCGAAAAAAUGUUGAAUUUUGUCCUUCGGUUAGCUAUAACUUGGUCAUUUUUAAAAGGGGUGUGGCCAAAUAUACUAAAAAGCCUAUAAAACCUAAAUGAAAACUCAAAACUUUAUGAAACUUGGUGGAAACAUGUAGCAGAUGACUCUUAACAAGCAUACAAAGAUUCAUGGAGAUCGGACCAUAGGUGGCGCUAUAACACUUAAAAGGGCAUCAAAAAACACAAGAUUUCUACAGAAAAUGACCUCAAAUUGUAGAACAUGUUCAUAUAUUCACACAAACACUAGAU
Long non-coding RNA from Cyprinus carpio carpio, 519 nucleotides. NCBI's taxonomy places the organism in Eukaryota, Metazoa, Chordata, Actinopteri, Cypriniformes, Cyprinidae. The record is from Ensembl.